Molecule: long non-coding RNA, 476 nt
Organism: Podarcis muralis (Common wall lizard)
Lineage: Eukaryota; Metazoa; Chordata; Lepidosauria; Squamata; Lacertidae
Source: RefSeq, a predicted model, not a curated record
CCUUGGAAACAACAGCUGACAGCCGCAUCGGACAUUCAGCUUCCGAAAAACGUUCGAAAAACCGUUAAACUUACUUUUGGGUUUUUGGCGUUGGAGAACCAAGGCAUUUGAGAACCAAGACCAUGAAGAUCGAAACUAUAAGUGGAAAAUGACUGGAGGAGAAGGGGGCAGAAGCUGGAGAAAGAACUAUAUUUGGGUGCCUCGAGACAGAAGCCAUCUUCUAUUCCAUGAAGAGAAGCUGACCAAACUGCCUGUGAAAACCUAGGACACUGUUGAUGGGACAGUGUCUUCUCUUUGCAUCUGAGGAGAAGCUUACAGUUCAGGGCAGGUCACAUGGCAUACAUAGCUAUGUCCUCAAGCUUAUCACUGCUGCCAUUCACACACACACACACACACACACUACCAAAUGUGUUAUGUGAGACUGCCUCACUUUGCUGAAGAGCAUGGCUGGCCCUGUUCCCUCUUUUCUGGCAUUG